Molecule: transfer RNA, 76 nt
Filed under: Pyropia dentata
Lineage: Eukaryota; Rhodophyta; Bangiophyceae; Bangiales; Bangiaceae
Description: Neoporphyra dentata tRNA-Val
Rfam family: tRNA
About the family: Transfer RNA (tRNA) molecules are approximately 80 nucleotides in length. Their secondary structure includes four short double-helical elements and three loops (D, anti-codon, and T loops).
Source: RNAcentral
UGGACAUGUAACUCAGCUGGUUAGAGUGUCACGUCGACAUCGUGAAAGUCGCUGGUUCGAGUCCAGCUAUGUCCAU